GAUGAACGCUGCCAGAAUGCUUAACACAUGCAAGUCUUUGGCGAAGCUGUGCUUGCACCGCCUAGCCAAGGCGGACGGGUGAGUAACGCGUAAGGAACUUGCCCUGCAGUCAGGGAUAACAGACGGAAACGACUGAUAAGACCUGGUAAAGUCAGGCGGACUCAUGUCCAGCCUGAUGAAAAGAGAUGCUGCAGGUGAGCCUUGCGUCCUAUUAGCUUGUUGGUGGGGUAACGGCCCACCAAGGCGAUGAUAGGUAGCCGGCCUGAGAGGGUGGACGGCCACAAGGGGACUGAGAUACGGCCCUUACUCCUACGGGAGGCAGCAGUGGGGAAUAUUGGACAAUGGGGGCAACCCUGAUCCAGCAAUUCUGUGUGCACGAUGAAGGUUUUCGGAUUGUAAAGUGCUUUCAGCAGGGAAGAAAAAAUGACGGUACCUGCAGAAGAAGCGACGGCUAAAUACGUG
RNAcentral lists this ribosomal RNA (462 nucleotides) under uncultured bacterium. RNAcentral describes it as "partial 16S ribosomal RNA". It matches the Rfam family "Bacterial small subunit ribosomal RNA", at positions 28 to 507 of the family's 1533-position model. The record is from RNAcentral.